This 566-nucleotide long non-coding RNA is filed under the name Capsicum annuum. RNAcentral's name for it is "long non-coding RNA (CANN_LNC003566)". The record is from RNAcentral. Lineage: Eukaryota; Viridiplantae; Streptophyta; Magnoliopsida; Solanales; Solanaceae.
AUAUCUAAAGAUCCGAAGUGGAGGGCAUGACUACGAAGGCAUUUCUUAUGUCUCCAACAUCAGUUUUGUUCUUCUUGAUAUGUCCGACCUGCGUUCAAUUGAUGUAAAUAUCCAAAAUGAAACAGCUUGGGUCCAAGCUGGCGCACUUCUAGGCGAACUUUAUUACAAAAUUUGGGAGAAAAGUAAAAUUCAUGCCUUCCCAGCCGGAGUUUGCCCAACUGUUGGUGUUGGUGGACACAUAACUGGAGGAGGAUACGGUAACCUGUUAAGAAAAUUUGGGCUGUCAGUUGAUAAUUUGAUUGAUGCGCGCAUAGUAGAUGUUCAUGGUAAAAUACUUAACAGAGAAUCAAUGGGAGAAGACCUGUUUUGGGCAAUCAGUGGCGGGGGUGGUGCUAGCUUUGGAGUGAUAUCGGCCUAUAAAAUUAGGCUGGUGAAAGUUCCUGAUGUUGUCACUGUUUUCCGGGUGGUGAGGACCGUUGAAGAAAAUGCAAUUGACAUUGUUUACAGGUGGCAAUUCAUUGCAGAUAAAAUAGAUAACAAUCUCUUUAUAAGGUUAACUCUAAAAC